GGUCUGUUCGCCCUUUAAAAUCUAACAUGAGCUGAGUUCAGAACGGCGUGAGCUAGUUCAGUUUCUAUCCUCUUUUUGAAAUGAGCUAAUUUUGUACGAAAGGACUUUUUCGCUAAAGCAAUGCUUUGUCACAAAUCUGUGGUUGCAUAAAUAAUAGUGCAUAAUAGGUUGAUUAGCCCAUAGAAAGGGUUA
This 192-nucleotide ribosomal RNA is filed under the name Mytilus trossulus (common blue mussel). RNAcentral describes it as "partial 16S ribosomal RNA". Lineage: Eukaryota; Metazoa; Mollusca; Bivalvia; Mytilida; Mytilidae. The record is from RNAcentral.